GAUGAAGGCCUUCGGGUUGUAAAGCUCUUUCGGCCGGGACGAUAAUGACGGUGCCCGCAGAAGAAGCUCCGGCUGAUUUCGUGCCAGCAGCCGCCGUAAUACUUCGGGGCCUAGCGUUGCUCGGAAUUACUGGGGGUAAAGUUCUCGCAGGCUGCUUGCCAAAUCGGGGGUGAAAUGCCGGGGCUCAACCUGGGAGCUGACCCCCAGACUUAACCUCUUGAGUUCCUUAGAAGUUGGUGGAAUUCCGGGUGGAGAGGGGAAAUUCGAUUUUCUGGGUGAAGAACAAAAUUGGCGAAAGCGGCGCACUAGCCCGGUGCUGAAGCUUGAGGCCCGGAACCUUGGGGGGGCAAUCAGGGUUAAAAACCCCUGGGAGUCCAAGGCGGU
RNAcentral lists this ribosomal RNA (384 nucleotides) under uncultured Bauldia sp. RNAcentral describes it as "bacterial SSU rRNA". It matches the Rfam family "Bacterial small subunit ribosomal RNA", at positions 407 to 804 of the family's 1533-position model. The record is from RNAcentral. Lineage: Bacteria; Pseudomonadati; Pseudomonadota; Alphaproteobacteria; Hyphomicrobiales; Kaistiaceae.